RNAcentral lists this ribosomal RNA (253 nucleotides) under uncultured bacterium. Its description in RNAcentral is "partial 16S ribosomal RNA". It matches the Rfam family "Bacterial small subunit ribosomal RNA", at positions 524 to 776 of the family's 1533-position model. The record is from RNAcentral.
UACGUAGGGGGCGAGCGUUGUCCGGAAUGAUUGGGCGUAAAGGGCGCGCAGGCGGCCUGUCAAGUCAGUAGUGGAAGUCCAUUUUUCAAGGAUGGAAGUGCUAUAGAAACUGAUGGGCUUGAGUGCAGGAGAGGUUAUCGGAAUUCCCGGUGUAGCGGUGAAAUGCGUAGAGAUCGGGAGGAACACCAGUGGCGAAGGCGGGUAACUGGACUGCAACUGACGCUGAGGCGCGAAAGUGUGGGGAGCAAACAGG